RNAcentral lists this ribosomal RNA (925 nucleotides) under Bacillus sp. (in: firmicutes). RNAcentral's name for it is "bacterial SSU rRNA". It matches the Rfam family "Bacterial small subunit ribosomal RNA", at positions 53 to 957 of the family's 1533-position model. Lineage: Bacteria; Bacillati; Bacillota; Bacilli; Caryophanales; Bacillaceae. The record is from RNAcentral.
ACAGAUAGUGAGUUGACCUGGCUCUGUUUACAAUUGCGUAACCAACGUUUCGGCGGAGGGUGAGUAACACGUGGGCAACCUGCCUGUAAGACUGGGAUAACUUCGGGAAACCGAAGCUAAUACCGGAUAGGAUCUUCUCCUUCAUGGGAGAUGAUUGAAAGAUGGUUUCGGCUAUCACUUACAGAUGGGCCCGCGGUGCAUUAGCUAGUUGGUGAGGUAACGGCUCACCAAGGCAACGAUGCAUAGCCGACCUGAGAGGGUGAUCGGCCACACUGGGACUGAGACACGGCCCAGACUCCUACGGGAGGCAGCAGUAGGGAAUCUUCCGCAAUGGACGAAAGUCUGACGGAGCAACGCCGCGUGAGUGAUGAAGGCUUUCGGGUCGUAAAACUCUGUUGUUAGGGAAGAACAAGUACGAGAGUAACUGCUCGUACCUUGACGGUACCUAACCAGAAAGCCACGGCUAACUACGUGCCAGCAGCCGCGGUAAUACGUAGGUGGCAAGCGUUAUCCGGAAUUAUUGGGCGUAAAGCGCGCGCAGGCGGUUUCUUAAGUCUGAUGUGAAAGCCCACGGCUCAACCGUGGAGGGUCAUUGGAAACUGGGGAACUUGAGUGCAGAAGAGAAAAGCGGAAUUCCACGUGUAGCGGUGAAAUGCGUAGAGAUGUGGAGGAACACCAGUGGCGAAGGCGGCUUUUUGGUCUGUAACUGACGCUGAGGCGCGAAAGCGUGGGGAGCAAACAUGAUUAGAUACCCUGGUAGUCCACGCCGUAAACGAUGAGUGCUAAGUGUAGAGGGUUUCCGCCCUUUAGUGCUGCAGCUAACGCAUUAAGCACUCCGCCUGGGGAGUACGGUCGCAGACUGAAACUCAAAGGAAUUGACGGGGGCCCGCACAAUCCGGUGGCAGCAUGUGGUUUAAAUCGAAGG